UCUCCGUAGGUGAACCUGCGGAGGGAUCAUUACAAGUGACCCCGGUCUAACCACCGGGAUGUUCAUAACCCUUUGUUGUCCGACUCUGUUGCCUCCGGGGCGACCCUGCCUUCGGGCGGGGGCUCCGGGUGGACACUUCAAACUCUUGCGUAACUUUGCAGUCCGAGUAAACUUAAUUAAUAAAUUAAAACUUUUAACAACGGAUCUCUUGGUUCUG
Molecule: unclassified non-coding RNA, 217 nt
Filed under: plant metagenome
Description: partial contains small subunit ribosomal RNA, internal transcribed spacer 1, and 5.8S ribosomal RNA
Source: RNAcentral